UACGGGGGGAGCAAGCGUUGUCCGGAAUUAUUGGGCGUAAGGAGCUCGUAGGCGGUCUGUCGCGUCUGCUGUGAAAACUCGGGGCUUAACCCCGGGCCUGCAGUGGGUACGGGCAGACUAGAGUGCGGUAGGGGAGACUGGAAUUCCUGGUGUAGCGGUGAAAUGCGCAGAUAUCAGGAGGAACACCGGUGGCGAAGGCGGGUCUCUGGGCCGUAACUGACGCUGAGGAGCGAAAGCGUGGGGAGCGAACAGG
RNAcentral lists this ribosomal RNA (253 nucleotides) under uncultured bacterium. Its description in RNAcentral is "partial 16S ribosomal RNA". It matches the Rfam family "Bacterial small subunit ribosomal RNA", at positions 524 to 776 of the family's 1533-position model. The record is from RNAcentral.